This 75-nucleotide transfer RNA is filed under the name Salmonella enterica. RNAcentral describes it as "tRNA-Gln". It matches the Rfam family "tRNA". From Rfam's summary of the family: Transfer RNA (tRNA) molecules are approximately 80 nucleotides in length. Their secondary structure includes four short double-helical elements and three loops (D, anti-codon, and T loops). The record is from RNAcentral. RNAcentral also lists the same sequence under 1 other name. Lineage: Bacteria; Pseudomonadati; Pseudomonadota; Gammaproteobacteria; Enterobacterales; Enterobacteriaceae.
UGGGGUAUCGCCAAGCGGUAAGGCACCGGUUUUUGAUACCGGCAUUCCCUGGUUCGAAUCCAGAUACCCCAGCCA